This 485-nucleotide ribosomal RNA is filed under the name uncultured bacterium. RNAcentral's name for it is "partial 16S ribosomal RNA". It matches the Rfam family "Bacterial small subunit ribosomal RNA", at positions 30 to 508 of the family's 1533-position model. The record is from RNAcentral.
AUUGAACGCUGGCGGCAGGCCUAACACAUGCAAGUCGAGCGGAUGAAGGGAGCUUGCUCCUGGAUUCAGCGGCGGACGGGUGAGUAAUGCCUAGGAAUCUGCCUGGUAGUGGGGGAUAACGUCCGGAAACGGGCGCUAAUACCGCAUACGUCCUGAGGGUGAAAGUGGGGGAUCUUCGGACCUCACGCUAUUAGAUGAGCCUAGGUCGGAUUAGCUAGUUGGUGGGGUAAAGGCCUACCAAGGCGACGAUCCGUAACUGGUCUGAGAGGAUGAUCAGUCACACUGGAACUGAGACACGGUCCAGACUCCUACGGGAGGCAGCAGUGGGGAAUAUUGGACAAUGGGCGAAAGCCUGAUCCAGCCAUGCCGCGUGUGUGAAGAAGGUCUUCGGAUUGUAAAGCACUUUAAGUUGGGAGGAAGGGCAGUAAGUUAAUACCUUGCUGUUUUGACGUUACCAACAGAAUAAGCACCGGCUAACUUCGUGC